RNAcentral lists this ribosomal RNA (488 nucleotides) under uncultured bacterium. Its description in RNAcentral is "bacterial SSU rRNA". It matches the Rfam family "Bacterial small subunit ribosomal RNA", at positions 15 to 518 of the family's 1533-position model. The record is from RNAcentral.
GAUUCUGGCUCAGGAUGAACGCUGGCGGCAUGCCUAAUACAUGCAAGUCGAACGGGAGUGCUUGCACUCCAGUGGCGAACGGGUGAGUAAUACAUAGGUAACCUGUCCUUAAGACGAGGAUAGCUUCUAGAAAUGGAAGAUAAAACUGGAUAGGACAUCACAAAUCACAUGAUUAGAUGUUUAAAAGAGCAAUCUACUUAAGGAGGGGCCUGUGGCGCAUUAGCCAGAUGGCGGGGUAAUGGCCCACCAUAGCGAUGAUGCGUAGCCGGUCUGAGAGGACGAACGGCCACAUUGGGACUGAGACACGGCCCAGACUCCUACGGGAGGCAGCAGUAGGGAAUUUUCGGCAAUGGGCGGAAGCCUGAACCCGAGCAAUGCCGCGUGAAUGAAGAAGUAUUUCGGUAUGUAAAGUUCUUUUAUUUGGGACGAAAAAACAAAUUGACGGUACCAAAUGAAUAAGCCCCGGCUAACUAUGUGCCAGCCGCUGC